AGCAACGACAUCUGCGAAUGACAUCUACCGAUGAUAUUAAUAUGACUUCGCACUUUUGCUCCGUCCUGCCCAACUGCAUGCUUCAUGAAGUUCCUGCGAUAGAGUGUUGUGCCUGAGCUGUUCAACCCUUUGAAGCAAUUAAUGAUGCCUUUCAUUCCCGGGAUUUAGAGAAUGUAUCAUUCAGAGAAUGAUACAUAAAUAUAGUAUGACUAGUGACUGAUUGCUUGAGAUAAUGCUCUCCUUGCUGUAGGCUACAUCCUUACAGAGUUGACAAUAAUUGUGAAAAGCAUGGUCUCAUGAAUGAAUCCACCACUAUUCAGGAAACUGAGUCAAAGGCUGUUGAGUAACUAUCAACAACUGACUUACUUACGGCCGUACCCUCUGGCCCCAGGGUGAAUGGCUAAAGGGCAGAAUGGCAACGGGGGGUUGUUUCCCGAAUAUAAAAUGGCGAUGCUGGCACGAGAAGAACUAACCUACUAAGUUAACUAUUCAGAUUGACAAAAUGAGCGAGACUCUACGCUCUGUUCUCUUUGGAGAAGGUUGGAUUUACAAUUCAUGAGAUGAUAGCCAGAUUUUGUUCCAGGAUGGCACAGGCACAAACUGAAUAUCUGGAUUGCCACCGAGUUCGAUUGGAAGCCUUUAAACCCGGAGUGCCUUGACCAGGUCAUCAGAUACCAAAAGACCACACUGAGGCACACAUUUCUUGUACUCUAUAUCUGACGAUAUCGACUACGGAUUCACCAUCCAGACGCUAAUAGGAUGAUUGCUAAUAACAUGAUGUCUAAAAAGAACUUAAUACAUUUGCUCCACAACUAAAAGUUUAAUCAUGUUCACUACUGACCUGAAAAAAAAGGCUCACGGAUACUUGUAAUACAAAAAUCAACCCCCGAUUCCAUGGAUGAAGAUAAAUCCCAGAAUCACCAUAAUAGAAAUAGGGAACUCCCAUAAGCAUCUCCUCAGAUUGGUUGGACCAUGGACCUAGCCAUCUCGAGCUUAGCACUGUCCACAAUACCUCUGUCCACAAGUUUAGCAAUCACUCGGACGGUCCAGCCUUGACAAUUUUCCACAACAGCCUGUCGAUUUACUGCUCUCGGAGGGGGUUCAUUCUCAGCCACCUGUUUUACAAUGAGCGCCUGUUUGUCCGUGACGACGGCAAGGUUGUAUGCAUUUGAGAAAGACGCCGACUGGAGGAUGUUGGUUGGGCCGGGUGAAGGUUGAUAACUCAUGCAUUCAGCAUCUCCUUUGACUUGGUAAACUGGGCCGGGUUCGUUUUCGCGGGCGACAAAGAGUGACCAAUGCUGGGGUUCGCCGUCAGCUUGAUUCUCCUGGAUAAGCAAGAGGCGCAGUGCACGGUCUAGUGUAGGCAAGUUGCUUUCGAGUUCCUCGGAUUCGAUCCAUUGUUGCGUCCCCCUUUUGCGCCUGAACUCACGGCCGUUGAACACGCAAUAUUCGGAAAAGCCGACGGACUUGAAAGGAGUGCCUGGGGGUGGAUAGUUACUCAUCCGGUAAAGCAUUAGCACUAAGACACGAAUAUUCAUGAUAUGGAUGCGGUCAAAGGGCCACAAUCUUUGAGGAAAUAUUUUAAAGCCUUGGAUGUAUAUUUGUGUAAUCUUUAAGAUGAACGUUGGAACUUUUGCAC
RNAcentral lists this small RNA (1639 nucleotides) under Histoplasma capsulatum. Its description in RNAcentral is "hypothetical RNA". RNAcentral also lists the same sequence under 1 other name. The record is from RNAcentral. Lineage: Eukaryota; Fungi; Ascomycota; Eurotiomycetes; Onygenales; Ajellomycetaceae.